Molecule: long non-coding RNA, 642 nt
Organism: Acyrthosiphon pisum (pea aphid)
Lineage: Eukaryota; Metazoa; Arthropoda; Insecta; Hemiptera; Aphididae
Exons: 3
Source: RefSeq, a predicted model, not a curated record
UAAGUUUUUUACUACUAGGUACAAUAUCCGUGCCCUAGUUAUUACUAUCGACGAUUGAUCGAAUAUAAUAUGUAGUUGUCGAAAAGUUGUAUGUACCUAUUAUUAUACGAUACAAUUAGGUAUUGUACGCUACAAAUUCAAGUGCCCCACCGCAAACUAUACACCGUCGAUGAUAUUGUAUGCGUACACACCACACAGCCAUCACGGUUAUCUACUUUAGAUAAGUUUUCGUGUUCGUUUCAUACGUCCGCGUGGACACGAUGAUUAUCACGUCAUAUUAUAUUGCAUUUGACAAGCAUUUUCCUAAGCCGACCAACAACAAUUAUUUUGGGUCUUAUGCGAUACAUUGAUGGCCAUCGUUCGGAAGAUGCACUCUAUAAAACUGUGAAUUCCGGUCGAAUAUAAUCGUUUUCGGUGACAUAAACAUUUGACGUUCGAAAUUGAAUUUAUCAACCAUCACGAGGCGGAAUGUCAUCGCUCCUGCACUUCACUUCAUCCAGUGUCCGUCAACGUGUUAAACAACCCCUAUCCCUGCAGCCACGAGGCGAAAGAGAGAGGGUUUUUUUGUGGUCGACAAUCGUGAUAUGAUUUGUUUUUCCGUAACGUUUUUAAUAAUUUACAAUCAUAAACUUCCAUAACCUA